AAACUAUCCAUCCAGCUGUCCGUUUGCCAAGAUGUGCUUGUCGGCGGUUAACGUGAUCGGCGUGAAGUGCGGUUGUAUAUUUAGUUCAAAGCCGGGCAAAGUUUUAAAGCACUCUCCAUAUUCAUAACGCUCUCGAAAACAAAGUGAAGCCCUUUUUGGGACGGAAAGUUGAAGUGAGAUUUAUGCAGAUGAACCGACAAGAGAAACAACGUCCCCUCGAAUCGAGCUUUUCUGCCAGAGAUGGAUAAGGGAGGUGCAUGCUGGGGGAGCUGAAAAUCUGUCCGUGUUUGCCUUUUGUUGUUUGAAUUUUAAGCGCAAUGGGAAAUGAAUAUUGAACUGAAUCUAAUUAAUCUUGACGUAUGAUGACUAUUCUGCUGUUGAAUUGCAUUAAUACGCUUAGUCAAUAGCUUCCGUGAAUGAAAGCUUAAUUGGAAAUAUUUCCAACAGAGCUAUUGUCGCACAACGUUGGCUUUCUACUGCUGUGUGGAGGGGUGCUUGCCUUGUGUGUGAGGUCCAUAGCCAAAGUGACCACACGCUUCCCCAUGGGGAAAGCAGGCGCGAGAAGUCAAAGUAGGAACCAUCAACAGCCCGGGGACGAUGGUGGGAAGCAUUUUAAUGCUUUUUCGCUUGAUGUUUUUAAUUUCCCUGAUUCAUGAGCUUUCUGGUGGCGAAGCCUGUAUGAAACGGAUGAUGGCGGUUUAGUCGACACCAACCGCCCACCGCCAUGUCACGAUGGUACCGCAAACGGUUGUAGCGCGAUAGGGACGAAAAAAUAUGCGAGUCAUUUUUAUUUUAAUUAAAAGCAAUUCCGAGCCUCCAGCUUCCUAGCAUAAAUUUGAAAUUUGAAACGACUUGGCAAGAUUAGAAUUCGGGUAGAUGAUGAAAAUGCUCGGAGCUUAAGAAUAUAAUUUUCCAUUCUUAAAACUG
Molecule: long non-coding RNA, 927 nt
Organism: Aedes aegypti (yellow fever mosquito)
Lineage: Eukaryota; Metazoa; Arthropoda; Insecta; Diptera; Culicidae
Exons: 2
Source: RefSeq, a predicted model, not a curated record